Molecule: ribosomal RNA, 826 nt
Filed under: uncultured bacterium
Lineage: Bacteria
Description: bacterial SSU rRNA
Rfam family: Bacterial small subunit ribosomal RNA
Source: RNAcentral
GCGAGCGGAACCACAGAUUUACUUCGGUAAUGACGUUGGGAAAGCCAGCGGCGGAUGGGUGAGUAACACGUGGGGAACCUGCCCCUAAGUCUGGGAUACCAUUUGGAAACAGGUGCUAAUACCGGAUAAUAAAGCAGAUCGCAUGAUCAGCUUUUGAAAGGCGGCGUAAGCUGUCGCUAAGGGAUGGCCCCGCGGUGCAUUAGCUAGUUGGUAAGGUAACGGCUUACCAAGGCGACGAUGCAUAGCCGAGUUGAGAGACUGAUCGGCCACAUUGGGACUGAGACACGGCCCAAACUCCUACGGGAGGCAGCAGUAGGGAAUCUUCCACAAUGGACGCAAGUCUGAUGGAGCAACGCCGCGUGAGUGAAGAAGGUUUUCGGAUCGUAAAGCUCUGUUGUUGGUGAAGAAGGAUAGAGGUAGUAACUGGCCUUUAUUUGACGGUAAUCAACCAGAAAGUCACGGCUAACUACGUGCCAGCAGCCGCGGUAAUACGUAGGUGGCAAGCGUUGUCCGGAUUUAUUGGGCGUAAAGCGAGCGCAGGCGGAAAAAUAAGUCUAAUGUGAAAGCCCUCGGCUUAACCGAGGAACUGCAUCGGAAACUGUUUUUCUUGAGUGCAGAAGAGGAGAGUGGAACUCCAUGUGUAGCGGUGGAAUGCGUAGAUAUAUGGAAGAACACCAGUGGCGAAGGCAGCUCUCUGGUCUGCAACUGACGCUGAGGCUCGAAAGCAUGGGUAGCGAACAGGAUUAGAUACCCUGGUAGUCCAUGCCGUAAACGAUGAGUGCUAAGUGUUGGGAGGUUUCCGCCUCUCAGUGCUGCAGCUAACGCA